ACUCUAGGGAUAACAGGCUGAUCUUCCCCAAGAGUUCACAUCGACGGGAAGGUUUGGCACCUCGAUGUCGGUUCAUCACAUCCUGGAGCGGCAGUACGUUCCAAGGGUUGGGCUGUUCGCCCAUUAAAGUGGUACGUGAGCUGGGUUCAGAACGUCGUGAGACAGUUUGGUCCAUAUCCGGUUUAGGCGUUAGAGCAUUGAGAGGAGCCUUCUCUAGUACGAGAGGAUUGUAGAAAGGUGAGCCUAUAGUGUACCAGUUAUUCUUCCAAGAGUAAACGCUGGGUAGCCAUGCUCAUAGGAAUAACUGCUGAAAGCAUCUAAGUAGGAAAUCCACCUCAAGAUGAU
This 345-nucleotide ribosomal RNA is filed under the name Chlamydomonas raudensis. Its description in RNAcentral is "partial 23S large subunit ribosomal RNA". It matches the Rfam family "Bacterial large subunit ribosomal RNA", at positions 2465 to 2808 of the family's 2925-position model. The record is from RNAcentral. Lineage: Eukaryota; Viridiplantae; Chlorophyta; Chlorophyceae; Chlamydomonadales; Chlamydomonadaceae.